CCAAAAGGGAUCCUAGUACGGCGAGUGACCGGGAAGAGCUCAAAUUUGAAAUCUGGCGUGCUCAGUGCGUCCGAGUUGUAAUCUAUAGAGUCGUUUUCCGUGCCGGACUGUGUCCAAGUCCCUUGGAACAGGGUAUCAAAGAGGGUGAUAAUCCCGUACUUGACACAAUGACCGGUGCUCUGUGAUACGUCUUCUACGAGUCGAGUUGUUUGGGAAUGCAGCUCAAAAUGGGUGGUGAGUUCCAUCUAAAGCUAAAUAUUGGCGAGAGACCGAUAGCGAACAAGUACCGUGAGGGAAAGAUGAAAAGCACUUUGGAAAGAGAGUUAAACAGUACGUGAAAUUGUUAAAAGGGAAACGAUUGAAGUCAGUCGUGACUGAGAGGCUCAGCCGGUUCUGCCGGUGUAUUCCCCUCAGUCGGGUCAACAUCAGUUUUGUUCGGUGGAUAAGGGCAGUUGGAAGGUGGCACCCUCGGGUGUGUUAUAGCCAGCUGUCGCAUACAUCGGAUGAGACUGAGGAAUGCAGCUCGCCUUUAUGGCCGGGGUUCGCCCACGUUCGAGCUUAGGAUGUUGACAUAAUGGCUUUAAACGACCCGUCUUGAAC
RNAcentral lists this ribosomal RNA (600 nucleotides) under Papiliotrema flavescens. Its description in RNAcentral is "eukaryotic LSU rRNA". It matches the Rfam family "Eukaryotic large subunit ribosomal RNA", at positions 65 to 659 of the family's 3401-position model. The record is from RNAcentral. Lineage: Eukaryota; Fungi; Basidiomycota; Tremellomycetes; Tremellales; Rhynchogastremaceae.